CCUACGGGAGGCAGCAGUGAGGAAUAUUGGUCAAUGGACGCAAGUCUGAACCAGCCAUGCCGCGUGCAGGAAGACGGCUCUAUGAGUUGUAAACUGCUUUUGUACGAGGGUAAACGCAGAUACGUGUAUCUGUCUGAAAGUAUCGUACAGAUAAAGAUCGGGUAACUCCGUGCCAGCCGCCGCGGUAAUACGGAGGAUUCAAGCGUUAUCCGGAUUUAUUGGGUUUAAAGGGUGCGUAGGCGGUCGGAUAAGUUAGAGGUGAAAUCCCGAGGCUCAACUUCGGAAUUGCCUCUGAUACUGUUCGGCUAGAGAGUAGUUGAGGUAGGCGGAAUGUAUGGUGUAGCGGUGAAAUGCUUAGAGAUCAUACAGAACACCGAUUGCGAAGGCAGCUUACCAAGCUACUUCUGACGUUGAGGCACGAAAGCGUGGGGAGCAAACAGGAUUAGAUACCCGGGUAGUC
This 460-nucleotide ribosomal RNA is filed under the name uncultured bacterium. RNAcentral describes it as "partial 16S ribosomal RNA". It matches the Rfam family "Bacterial small subunit ribosomal RNA", at positions 338 to 795 of the family's 1533-position model. The record is from RNAcentral.